RNAcentral lists this ribosomal RNA (426 nucleotides) under uncultured Actinomycetes bacterium. RNAcentral describes it as "bacterial SSU rRNA". It matches the Rfam family "Bacterial small subunit ribosomal RNA", at positions 233 to 671 of the family's 1533-position model. Lineage: Bacteria; Bacillati; Actinomycetota; Actinomycetes. The record is from RNAcentral.
GCGGCCUAUCAGCUUGUUGGGGAGGUAACGGCUCACCAAGGCUUCGACGGGUAGCUGGUCUGAGAGGAUGAUCAGCCACACUGGGACUGAGACACGGCCCAGACUCCUACGGGAGGCAGCAGUGGGGAAUCUUGCGCAAUGGGCGAAAGCCUGACGCAGCGACGCCGCGUGCGGGAUGAAGGCCUUCGGGUUGUAAACCGCUUUCAGCAGGGAAGAAGCGAAAGUGACGGUACCUGCAGAAGAAGCACCGGCUAACUAUGUGCCAGCAGCCGCGGUAAUACAUAGGGUGCAAGCGUUGUCCGGAAUUAUUGGGCGUAAAGAGCUCGUAGGUGGUUCGUCACGUCGGAUGUGAAACUCUGGGGCUUAACCCCAGACCUGCAUUCGAUACGGGCGAGCUUGAGUAUGGUAGGGGAGACUGGAAUUCCU